AGUGAACGCUGGCGGUAGGCCUAACGCAUGCAAGUCGAACGGCAGCACAGUAAGAGCUUGCUCUUACGGGCGGCGAGUGGCGGACGGGUGAGGAAUACAUCGGAAUCUACUUUUUCGGGGGGGAUAACGUAGGGAAACUUCCGCUAAUACCGCAUACGACCUACUGGUGAAAGCACGGGAUCUUCGGACCUUGCGCGAUUGUAUGAGCCGAUGUCGGAUUAGCUAGUUGGCGGGGUAAAGGCCCACCAAGGCGACGAUCGGUAGCUGGUCUGAGAGGGUGAUCCGCCACACUGGAACUGAGACACGGUCCAGACUCCUACGGGAGGCAGCAGUGGAGAAUAUUGGACAAUGGGCGCAAGCCUGAUCCAGCCAUACCGGGUGGGUGAAGAAGGCCUUCGGGUUGUAAAGCCCUUUUGUUGGGAAAGAAAAGCAGCAGGUUAAUCCGCCGCUGUUCUGACGGUACCCAGAGAAUAAGCACCGGCUAACUUCGUG
Molecule: ribosomal RNA, 492 nt
Filed under: uncultured bacterium
Lineage: Bacteria
Description: partial 16S ribosomal RNA
Rfam family: Bacterial small subunit ribosomal RNA
Source: RNAcentral